GUGCUGUUGAAGAGUCCCAAACUAGGACGAAACAGCUGUCCAGUAC
Molecule: non-coding RNA, 46 nt
Organism: Trichobilharzia regenti
Lineage: Eukaryota; Metazoa; Platyhelminthes; Trematoda; Strigeidida; Schistosomatidae
Source: Rfam